Molecule: ribosomal RNA, 483 nt
Filed under: uncultured bacterium
Lineage: Bacteria
Description: partial 16S ribosomal RNA
Rfam family: Bacterial small subunit ribosomal RNA
Source: RNAcentral
GACGAACGCUGGCGGCGUGCCUAACACAUGCAAGUCGAACGAGGUCCAAGGGAGCUUGCUCCCUGAAGACCUAGUGGCGAACGGGUGAGUAACACGUGAGAAACCUGCCCUCGAGUGGGGAAUAACCCGGGGAAACCCGGGCUAAUACCGCAUACGCUCCUCUGGUCGCAUGGCCGGAGGAGGAAAGUUUUUCGCUCAAGGAGGGUCUCGCGGCCUAUCAGCUUGUGGGCGGGGUAACGGCCCAACAAGGCCACGACGGGUAGCUGGUUUGAGAAAACGAUCAGCCACACUGGGACGGAGACACGGCCCAGACCCCUACGGGAGGCAGCAGUGGGGAAUCUUGCGCAAUGGGCGAAAGCCUGACGCAGCACCGCCGCGUGCGGGAUGACGGCCUUCGUGGUUGUAAACCGCUUUCAGCAGGGACGAAAAUGACGGAACCUGCAAAAGAAGCUCCGGCUAACUACGUGCCAGCAGCCGCGGUAA